Molecule: long non-coding RNA, 4103 nt
Filed under: Sus scrofa (pig)
Lineage: Eukaryota; Metazoa; Chordata; Mammalia; Artiodactyla; Suidae
Description: lncRNA (ENSSSCG00000061064.1)
Source: RNAcentral
CACAAAAAUAGGAAACAUUUCCUUAAAGAACAAACACUCGGGUUGUGCCUGCGUGCAUUCUGACUCCCUGAAUCCGUACCCCGCUGGUGAGAGAAAUUAUCCUCAAGAAUCUGGUGGUUUCUCUGCCUUUUCCUCUUCCACUUGGACCUGUCCUUCCAUUUGCUCAGCAGAAUGGGAGCUACCUGUGAGCCAGGUGGCCCCCGCCCCACCUCCCAGGACCCAGAGCGAAGACCCUUUUCUCUGGGCCAAAAGGCAGAAAUACCAUCUGGAAGGCAAAAAGAUAUAUAUAUCUUUGGAGCCUCGGUCUUUAAAAGCAUCUGUUUGCCUGUUGAGAAGCUCUCCCACAAGCCAGAAACGUGAACUAAAGUGAACUGAGGUUUCCUCGUGGUCUUUGGCAAGCCCAGGGGUUCCAGAAGCGUCUACCUGUUUUAUUUGCAGAGAACAAGAUGUGUAUGAUGAGGCUGCUUUCUUGGUACCUGCUUCCUGUCUCAAUUUUCAGCUGACAAAUGGUCUUCUCUCUGCGCUUAGCCUAAAGAGCCUAAUGAAAGAUGCUGAGCCCCGUUUUGACCAUGAUGCUUCAUCCCCACCUCCCAGCCAUAGAGUCCUGAAGUGAUGGAUCUCAGGACUGGGAGAGAGAGAUUUAUCUUUUAUUCCAAAUGCCUUCUCUCAGUGUAAGUCCAGACUCAGGUCAUAAAUCAAAGAGAGUUUGGCUCUCAACCCAUAGCGAGGAGCCUCCCUGGGACUGAAUGAGGGCGUGACCUGAAAAGUAAGGUGUGACCCCCCCCCCCCCCGAGCACAGCUCUGCGGCUUGGUGCGUGGCCACACGCUGGGAAGUCUUGUUCCACUGGACCCUCGCCUCCCAUCCCCAUGGGAGCUGCUGGGUUCUGCUGGUCCAGCUGGAGAUCUCAAACCAUAUUGGGUCAUUUCACUGCACUGACUAUGCCUCUAAAAGCCCCUGGUGAUGAUAUUAUUUGCCGUGUUCCACUGAGAUCUACAGAAGGUCUAAAACCCCACUGCAGAAAGAAGGGGCCCCUUCUCCCAUGAUGCCCUGAUGACACAGAUGGACUCGAGCUUCUAGACUUUGGCAGGUACUUCUUAUGUUACCAGGAGGACUUCAGAGCCGCCUUCCCUGGAGAACAUCUGUCUGGAAUGACCUCAGUCUGAUCAGAGAUUUCUCAUUGGCCUCUUCCAUGAUCCUUACGGGGCUAAGGGUCCUGUUAAGUCCUUAAAAUCCUAAAGACCUCGCCAUACCACCCUCCCUCACCACCUCGACUCCCCCCAGAGGGGGAAAACAAAACAGAAAAGAAGCCUCGUUCCGCAGCCAGGGUUUUCCAUUUGAAUCAUUUAAAGCAAUGGCGAAAAAGAGGAGACCUCGGGCUGCCUCUUAUGGAUGGACUCUGUCUCCGUGACAAUUUAAAUGUCAGAACUGUGCAGCUUCGCUUCCGGCUUCCUUUGACCAAGUCACUCAGGGGACUGUCCUUGGUUUGGGGGCCUUGUCGUAGACACUUGGCUGGGAGGGGAAAGGUCAGGUACACAAACCAGCCAAGGCUUUCUCUGGGUAGCCUAUGCGCUGUGCUAUGUCUGUGAUCAUUUUAACAGCUGUGGUGGGCUUGGGACCCUCUUUAUAAGGUCUCAAGAGACAUGCUAACAGUGCUCCGAAAGUCUUGAAGGCAAAAUUAAUUCGAUUCAGUUGGCUUGAAAUAUAAUCCCAAGAACCAGGUUUUGCCAGUCCUGCAAAGGCAGUCCUGUGAAACCGGGAAAGACUUGCUUGGCAUCCUGUCCCCUGCCGCUGCCUCGGGUAACUUAUCCACGGACCACAUUCCCCCACACCUACCCCCGAUCCCAUGCUGGGCGCAGCCCUCACCCACCCCUCUGCCUUGAGCGUGAUGGGUUGGCUUUCAAACCUGUGCUUCUCGAGUUGUUAGACGUUAUCGUCCAAGUAAAACGGAUGCAGAGGCUGGAGUUUUCCAGGGGAGGAGAGCAGCAGGAUAAUUAGGAAGGAAUGUUCCAGAGAAUGUGAAAUUCAAGUGUGAGGUCGUUGCUCCAUCCCUGGACCAGAGAGUCAAAGAAAAUUUUCAAAGGGCUGCAGAGGCUGACUGCCGAACAUUUCCCCGGGAUAUCUGGUCUACCCUGGGAACAUGCAGGGGCUUGAGUGCCAUGGGGCUGCUGGCUGCCCACCAACCAACCUGAUCCCAAUGCCAUGCGCUGGGAACGUCAAGAGGAGGCUGGUAGCUUGCCUUUCCUGACAGCCGCCAAGCCCAAGAGGCCUUUCCCAGGCAUCUGGGCACAGACCUGUGGAACUGAAGAUGGGAGAGAAAAGCUUAGCACUGACUGUGUAAGCAGCACUAUCAGCCAGGAAGGGCACAGGAGGCGGGACCCCAGGUGCCUCUGCCACCCACCAGCCAGAUAAUUUAGAGUGACUUCCCUUCCUGGUCUCAGGUUGCUCAUCUCUAAAGCAAACAGAAGGGUUAACCAGAGGUCUCGGAAGGGCCCUCCUAUCUGAAACAAAUCAAAGUAAAUGAGAGAGUUCCUAGCUCCCCCAUGAAUUGCAUUAGGGGCUGAUAGUUCCUUUUUUUUUUUUUUUUUUUAACCCAAGUCCCAAGAGGCAGUUGUAAUAAAGUGUCCCUUUUGGAGUCCAUUGUCUGUUGAUAAAAUGAUGCACGUCAGCUUCUGUUGAGUGUGUCUUGUAGGCAAGAGCUUUUGUAUACUCCCUAAGGACUUGCUGAUUCAAGGGAGCAUCCAAGAUGGGCUUUGUGUCCUGUCUGAGCCAGGGUCAACAUGAAGGGGGAGAGAUCCCCUUCCCACAGGUCACGUGAGUCAGAAUUCCUGCCUAAGGAGGGUAAAAUAAAGCCAGAUUCCGGGAAGAGAUGCUAUUUCCCCAUCUGACAAAGCCUAACUGGAAGCUACUGACUAAACAGCACAACUUCUGAUCAUGUCUUUUCUUUUCUUUUUUCUUCUGGACCCUGGAACAGCAGUUCUGGUAUAUGGGAUAGUGGUUUGUACUUAUUGGCAACGCUGCAGAAGGAAAAGUGUCAUGAUCCCUGGGUGAUGGUUAGGAAUUCGAUCCACAGCCUAGGGAGACCAGACACCUGCAGGGGUCCUUUGAUGGGUGAUGAGCGAUGCUGAGCCCAGGUGCCUACUUUAGAUGGGAUCCAACCAUGUUGAGGGAUAAAGGUCAGGGAGGAGCUGCAGGAGCCACAAAAGUCUCGUUUUUCUUGCCAGCAACAACCUCAAAUCCUAGGUGUCUCUCCUUCCUCCCCCUCCUGUGGAAGUAAAUGAAGGUCCUUGUCGUUGUUUUCGCAAGCUCUGCUGCUUUUCCUUCGAAAGACCUAGAUUGGCCAGGGAGGGGCUCUCUCAGCUCCUGAUGGAAAUUUACACUGUCUCGCAGCGUUCUCCAAGGAAAGUCCAAGAAUGUUCUUUCUUUCUGACGUGGAAAUCAGGCUUCAGGGGUCCUUGAAUGGCUUCUCAGUGGGGUUUGCGUUUCUCCCCCAGUUCUGAAUCCAAGAAGAAGCAGCUCUUUCUCCUCCAAGGACAAAGCAAGGACAGGGCCCUUGGAAGGAAAUCAGCCCCCAGAAACCUGGCCAGGGCGUGGCUUGGCAAGUUGUCAUCUGCUGGAGGUGGGGGCUAUUGCGAUCCUAGCAUCAUUAGGAUCCUUAGGUCAGAGGUCAAUGGCUGGAUGCAAACUGGAGCACAGCUGAGGAGCUUUACAACCGGGAUGACCGGAGCUGGGCAGAUCUCACAUCCAGAAGAAGCCACGAAGACUGAAGUCCCGGGUCACAACCUCCCCAGUUACCUCAUUCACGUCCCUUUUUCUUUGUCGUUCAGGUUGGGUUGGUGAUUUCCACUAGUAAACGAUGAGCGAGUCAGCAGAUUAGUCAAAAGAAAAUCUUUAUAUCAAAUGUAAAUACUAAUAUAAAUUAACCUGGCAUGCCACUUCACGGAGUCCAUGAAGUACGUAUAUAUAAAGGAAAACCAACUGCCAUAUUUACCAGAUGUUUUCUCUAACCAAACUUGUCUGUAAAUAUAUAAUCUGUAUAAAAAAAGAGUCUAAUUUACCAUUAUUUAUGCAAUAGAAAAAAAAAUAAACGUUUUCUGUUUUCUUU